RNAcentral lists this ribosomal RNA (727 nucleotides) under marine metagenome. RNAcentral's name for it is "bacterial SSU rRNA". It matches the Rfam family "Archaeal small subunit ribosomal RNA", at positions 336 to 1067 of the family's 1478-position model. The record is from RNAcentral.
CAGGCGCGAAAACUUCACACUGCAGGAAACUGUGAUGAGGGAACUCCUAGUGCAUGCACUAUGUGUAUGUAGAUCCUACUCUUAACAAGUAGAGGGAAAGGGCUGGGAAAGACCGGUGCCAGCCGCCGCGGUAAUACCGGCAGCUCAAGUGGUCGUCGCUUUUAUUGGGCCUAAAACGUCCGUAGCCUGUUUGGUAAAUCUGUGGGUAAAUCAACUCGCUCAACGAGUUGAAUUCUGCAGAGACUGCCAGACUAGGGACCGGGAGAGGUGUGGGGUACUCUAGGGGUAGGGGUAAAAUCCUGUCAUCCUUAGAGGACCACCAGUUGCGAAGGCGCCACACUGGAACGGAUCCGACGGUCAGGGACGAAGCCUAGGGGCACGAACCGGAUUAGAUACCCGGGUAGUCCUAGGUGUAAACGCUGUGAACUUGGUGUCGGGGGUCCGCAAGGGGUCCCCGGUGCCGGAGUGAAGAUGUUAAGUUCACUGCCUGGGGAGUACGGUCGCAAGGCUGAAACUUAAAGGAAUUGGCGGGGGAGCACCGCAACGGGAGGAGCGUGCGGUUUAAUUGGAUUCAACGCCGGAAAACUCACCAGGGCCGACUGUUAUAUGAAGACCAGCGUAAUGAGCUUGUCGGAUUUUCAGAGAGGUGGUGCAUGGCCGUCGUCAGUUCGUACUGUAAAGCGUUCUGUUAAGUCAGAUAACGAACGAGACCCUCAUCUCUAUUUGC